RNAcentral lists this ribosomal RNA (1554 nucleotides) under Klebsiella pneumoniae. Its description in RNAcentral is "bacterial SSU rRNA". It matches the Rfam family "Bacterial small subunit ribosomal RNA". RNAcentral also lists the same sequence under 1 other name. The record is from RNAcentral. Lineage: Bacteria; Pseudomonadati; Pseudomonadota; Gammaproteobacteria; Enterobacterales; Enterobacteriaceae.
ACUUAAAUUGAAGAGUUUGAUCAUGGCUCAGAUUGAACGCUGGCGGCAGGCCUAACACAUGCAAGUCGAGCGGUAGCACAGAGAGCUUGCUCUCGGGUGACGAGCGGCGGACGGGUGAGUAAUGUCUGGGAAACUGCCUGAUGGAGGGGGAUAACUACUGGAAACGGUAGCUAAUACCGCAUAAUGUCGCAAGACCAAAGUGGGGGACCUUCGGGCCUCAUGCCAUCAGAUGUGCCCAGAUGGGAUUAGCUAGUAGGUGGGGUAACGGCUCACCUAGGCGACGAUCCCUAGCUGGUCUGAGAGGAUGACCAGCCACACUGGAACUGAGACACGGUCCAGACUCCUACGGGAGGCAGCAGUGGGGAAUAUUGCACAAUGGGCGCAAGCCUGAUGCAGCCAUGCCGCGUGUGUGAAGAAGGCCUUCGGGUUGUAAAGCACUUUCAGCGGGGAGGAAGGCGAUAAGGUUAAUAACCUUGUCGAUUGACGUUACCCGCAGAAGAAGCACCGGCUAACUCCGUGCCAGCAGCCGCGGUAAUACGGAGGGUGCAAGCGUUAAUCGGAAUUACUGGGCGUAAAGCGCACGCAGGCGGUCUGUCAAGUCGGAUGUGAAAUCCCCGGGCUUAACCUGGGAACUGCAUUCGAAACUGGCAGGCUAGAGUCUUGUAGAGGGGGGUAGAAUUCCAGGUGUAGCGGUGAAAUGCGUAGAGAUCUGGAGGAAUACCGGUGGCGAAGGCGGCCCCCUGGACAAAGACUGACGCUCAGGUGCGAAAGCGUGGGGAGCAAACAGGAUUAGAUACCCUGGUAGUCCACGCCGUAAACGAUGUCGAUUUGGAGGUUGUGCCCUUGAGGCGUGGCUUCCGGAGCUAACGCGUUAAAUCGACCGCCUGGGGAGUACGGCCGCAAGGUUAAAACUCAAAUGAAUUGACGGGGGCCCGCACAAGCGGUGGAGCAUGUGGUUUAAUUCGAUGCAACGCGAAGAACCUUACCUGGUCUUGACAUCCACAGAACUUUCCAGAGAUGGAUUGGUGCCUUCGGGAACUGUGAGACAGGUGCUGCAUGGCUGUCGUCAGCUCGUGUUGUGAAAUGUUGGGUUAAGUCCCGCAACGAGCGCAACCCUUAUCCUUUGUUGCCAGCGGUUAGGCCGGGAACUCAAAGGAGACUGCCAGUGAUAAACUGGAGGAAGGUGGGGAUGACGUCAAGUCAUCAUGGCCCUUACGACCAGGGCUACACACGUGCUACAAUGGCAUAUACAAAGAGAAGCGACCUCGCGAGAGCAAGCGGACCUCAUAAAGUAUGUCGUAGUCCGGAUUGGAGUCUGCAACUCGACUCCAUGAAGUCGGAAUCGCUAGUAAUCGUAGAUCAGAAUGCUACGGUGAAUACGUUCCCGGGCCUUGUACACACCGCCCGUCACACCAUGGGAGUGGGUUGCAAAAGAAGUAGGUAGCUUAACCUUCGGGAGGGCGCUUACCACUUUGUGAUUCAUGACUGGGGUGAAGUCGUAACAAGGUAACCGUAGGGGAACCUGCGGUUGGAUCACCUCCUUACCUUAAAGAA